This 1258-nucleotide long non-coding RNA is filed under the name Volvox carteri. RNAcentral's name for it is "long non-coding RNA (VCAR_LNC002407)". Lineage: Eukaryota; Viridiplantae; Chlorophyta; Chlorophyceae; Chlamydomonadales; Volvocaceae. The record is from RNAcentral.
CCGAUCCCUGCCCACCUUGGACACACCCCGUCCUGCUGAUCAGCGAUUGGCUGGAGGUCCAGCCAUCAUUCACCCCCGGGCCACCCCAGGUCGCCCUAUGGCCGACCGUAUUCCUACUCAGGGUUUGACCCCGUCACCUUCUCCUUCCUUGUCUUCCUCAAGCAAGGAAAGCGACUCAGGUCCGGAUUCCAAUGUUUUUACCCCAGAUAGUGGUAACAGCUCCGGCGAGACGCCGAAGCCUGGACCUCUUACCCCUACAGAAAUUUGGCAGGAUAAAGCAUUCAUUCGAUACUUAGAAUCUGGCAAGCUUCCUGUUGACGUUUCGGGAAGAUAAUUUGAGGGAGAUGACAAGAUUACGUAAAAAGGCUGCUCGGUAUGAACUUUCAAAUGGCCAGCUGUGGAAGCUGAGCUCGGAUAAGCAAUCACGGGUGCGAGUUCUCAAACCUGAGGAACGCCUGGCAGCGCUUCAAGAGGCCCACGACAUGGCUCAUUGGGGAGUCGGCAAGACCUAUGACUUUCUCCGCAAGCGUUUCUUUUGGGAGAACAUGCGACAAGAUGUGCAGACACACGUGGCCAAGUGUCAGAAGUGUGCACCUGGCAAGCUGAGGCUUGUACGGCAACCACGACUUCGCCCCCUUCCGGUGGUACCACUGUGGGGAAGAGUACAUGUUGAUCUGAUGGGACCUUACAAGGAGACACCUCGCGGCAACAGCUAUCUGAUCGUGGCUGUAGACUCAUGGUCUAAAUGGCCCGAGGCAGGACCCCUGCCGGAUAAGAAAGCUAGCACCACUGCAUCAUGGUUCUGGCAACAGUGGGUGACCCGCUAUGGAUCGCCCGAAAUGGUGAUGACAGAUCAAGGUCGAGAAUGGGAUGGCGAGUUUGCCCACCUGCUACGAGAGCAGAAAAUCGCACAUCGACACACCGCUGCCUACUCACCUCAGAGCAACGGGCAGGCAGAGCGUCUUGUCAGGGUGCUGUUGACAAGCCUACGCAAAUGCAUCAACGACCAGGAAGACAACUGGGACAUUGAGGUCUAUCAAAUUCUCUAUGGUUAUAGAGCUACCCGACAAGAUAGCACGCGGUUGAGCCCGGCGCUAUGUGUGUUCGGCAAAGAACUUACAACGGCGGCGGAACGCAGCACCGCCCCGAAUCCCACACUACCGUCUGAGGACCCUAGCGGAGGUUAGCCCCGGCCAGGUGGCCAGGUUUCUGAAGGGGGGGGACGCUACAGCUGUAGCGACCUCCAGCUGGUCAUAGA